AUGUGCGGAAGAGAUAACCGCUGAAAGCAUCUAAGCGGGAAACUCGCCUCAAGAUGAGACGUCCCGGAGGGUUAACCUCCCUGAAGGGUCGUGGAAGACCACCACGUUGAUAGGCCGGAUGUGCAAGAGGAGUAAUCCUUUCAGCUAACCGGUACUAAUUGCCCGUGCGGCUUGACCCUAUAACCUU
This 187-nucleotide ribosomal RNA is filed under the name Betaproteobacteria bacterium. RNAcentral describes it as "partial 23S ribosomal RNA". It matches the Rfam family "Bacterial large subunit ribosomal RNA", at positions 2751 to 2925 of the family's 2925-position model. The record is from RNAcentral. Lineage: Bacteria; Pseudomonadati; Pseudomonadota; Betaproteobacteria.